This 274-nucleotide ribosomal RNA is filed under the name uncultured bacterium. Its description in RNAcentral is "partial 16S ribosomal RNA". It matches the Rfam family "Bacterial small subunit ribosomal RNA", at positions 523 to 796 of the family's 1533-position model. The record is from RNAcentral.
AUACGAAAGGUGCAAGCGUUGUUCGGAUUUACUGGGCGUAAAGAGAGUGUAGGUUGUUUAUUAAGUCGGAUGUGAAAUCCCGGGGCUCAACCUCGGAACUGCAUUCGAUACUGAUGGGCUAGAGUUUGGGAGGGGUAAGCGGAAUUCCGUGUGUAGCAGUGAAAUGCGUAGAUAUACGGGGGAACACCUGAGGCGAAGGCGGCUUACUGGACCAAUACUGACACUGAGACUCGAAAGCGUGGGUAGCAAACAGGAUUAGAAACCCUAGUAGUCC